Molecule: ribosomal RNA, 475 nt
Filed under: Streptococcus agalactiae
Lineage: Bacteria; Bacillati; Bacillota; Bacilli; Lactobacillales; Streptococcaceae
Description: bacterial SSU rRNA
Rfam family: Bacterial small subunit ribosomal RNA
Source: RNAcentral
UUAAUGAGAGUUUGAUCCUGGCUCAGGACGAACGCUGGCGGCGUGCCUAAUACAUGCAAGUAGAACGCUGAGGUUUGGUGUUUACACUAGACUGAUGAGUUGCGAACGGGUGAGUAACGCGUAGGUAACCUGCCUCAUAGCGGGGGAUAACUAUUGGAAACGAUAGCUAAUACCGCAUAAGAGUAAUUAACACAUGUUAGUUAUUUAAAAGGAGCAAUUGCUUCACUGUGAGAUGGACCUGCGUUGUAUUAGCUAGUUGGUGAGGUAAAGGCUCACCAAGGCGACGAUACAUAGCCGACCUGAGAGGGUGAUCGGCCACACUGGGACUGAGACACGGCCCAGACUCCUACGGGAGGCAGCAGUAGGGAAUCUUCGGCAAUGGACGGAAGUCUGACCGAGCAACGCCGCGUGAGUGAAGAAGGUUUUCGGAUCGUAAAGCUCUGUUGUUAGAGAAGAACGUUGGAAGGAGWGGAAA